GAUGAACGCUGGCGGCGUGCCUAAUACAUGCAGGUCGAGCGAACGGACGAGAAGCUUGCUUCUCUGAUGUUAGCGGCGGACGGGUGAGUAACACGUGGAUAACCUACCUAUAAGACUGGGAUAACUUCGGGAAACCGGAGCUAAUACCGGAUGAUAUUUUGAACCGCAUGGUUCAAAAGUGAAAGACGGUCUUGCUGUCACUUAUAGAUGGAUCCGCGCUGCAUUAGCUAGUUGGUAAGGUAACGGCUUACCAAGGCAACGAUGCAUAGCCGACCUGAGAGGGUGAUCGGCCACACUGGAACUGAGACACGGUCCAGACUCCUACGGGAGGCAGCAGUAGGGAAUCUUCCGCAAUGGGCGGAAGCCUGACGGAGCAACGCCGCGUGAGUGAUGAAGGUCUUCGGAUCGUAAAACUCUGUUAUUAGGGAAGAACAUAUGUGUAAGUAACUGUGCACAUCUUGACGGUACCUAAUCAGAAAGCCACGGCUAACUACGUG
Molecule: ribosomal RNA, 497 nt
Filed under: uncultured bacterium
Lineage: Bacteria
Description: partial 16S ribosomal RNA
Rfam family: Bacterial small subunit ribosomal RNA
Source: RNAcentral